Molecule: ribosomal RNA, 281 nt
Filed under: uncultured bacterium
Lineage: Bacteria
Description: partial 16S ribosomal RNA
Rfam family: Bacterial small subunit ribosomal RNA
Source: RNAcentral
GUGCCAGCAGCCGCGGUAAUACGGGGGGUGCAAGCGUUGCUCGGAAUCACUGGGCGUAAAGCGUACGCAGGCGGCCUAUUAAGUCGGAUGUGAAAGCCCCGGGCUCAACCCUAAAAUGUCGAUCGAUACUGUUGUGACUAGGAUACGGUAGAGGUGAAUGGAAUUCCGAGUGUAGCGGUGAAAUGCGUAGAUAUUCGGAGGAACACCAAUUGCGAAGGCAGUUCACUGGACCGUGAUCGACGCUGAGGAGCGAAAGCUAGGGGAGCAAACAGGAUUAGAUA